This 497-nucleotide ribosomal RNA is filed under the name uncultured bacterium. RNAcentral describes it as "partial 16S ribosomal RNA". It matches the Rfam family "Bacterial small subunit ribosomal RNA", at positions 28 to 507 of the family's 1533-position model. The record is from RNAcentral.
GAUGAACGCUGGCGGCGUGCCUAAUACAUGCAAGUCGAGCGAACAGAUGAGGAGCUUGCUCCUCUGACGUUAGCGGCGGACGGGUGAGUAACACGUGGAUAACCUACCUAUAAGACUGGGAUAACUUCGGGAAACCGGAGCUAAUACCGGAUAAUAUAUUGAACCGCAUGGUUCAAUAGUGAAAGACGGUUUUGCUGUCACUUAUAGAUGGAUCCGCGCCGCAUUAGCUAGUUGGUAAGGUAACGGCUUACCAAGGCAACGAUGCGUAGCCGACCUGAGAGGGUGAUCGGCCACACUGGAACUGAGACACGGUCCAGACUCCUACGGGAGGCAGCAGUAGGGAAUCUUGCGCAAUGGGCGAAAGCCUGACGGAGCAACGCCGCGUGAGUGAUGAAGGUCUUCGGAUCGUAAAGCUCUGUUAUUAGGGAAGAACAAAUGUGUAAGUAACUAUGCACGUCUUGACGGUACCUGAUCAGAAAGCCACGGCUAACUACGUG